Molecule: transfer RNA, 87 nt
Filed under: Escherichia coli
Lineage: Bacteria; Pseudomonadati; Pseudomonadota; Gammaproteobacteria; Enterobacterales; Enterobacteriaceae
Description: tRNA-Leu
Rfam family: tRNA
About the family: Transfer RNA (tRNA) molecules are approximately 80 nucleotides in length.
Source: RNAcentral
GCCCGGAUGGUGGAAUCGGUAGACACAAGGGAUUUAAAAUCCCUCGGCGUUCGCGCUGUGUGGGUUCAAGUCCCGCUCCGGGUACCA